Callithrix jacchus (white-tufted-ear marmoset) is the source of this 4152-nucleotide long non-coding RNA. RefSeq lists it as uncharacterized. NCBI's taxonomy places the organism in Eukaryota, Metazoa, Chordata, Mammalia, Primates, Cebidae. The record is from RefSeq and is a predicted model, not a curated record.
UUGGACUGGGUAACUCCCAAGCGUGCCCUGCACUGCUGCUCUGUGAGAGUGAGUCCCUGUGAUUCAUGCUGGAAAUGGCUCAAUAACCCUCCCUUUAUUGAUUUCCUGUCCCUCUCUGUCUCAUCUCCCCACUCUGCCACCUCUCAAGUACACUCCCUUCAGGGUCAGGGGGACCUCAACACAAAACAGAAUUUGUCCUGCUGCCUGGCACAGCGUCUUUACAGUGAUGCUAUUGGAGGCUCUCCCCAGCAUUUCCACCAUCUUAUCACGUCUCUUCUAAAGGUGAACAGUUGAAACUGCAGACUUAAAAAAGUCGACGCUGGCUGCUGUGAGGACACCAUGCAGUAGGAGCUACCACUGCAGUAAUCCCUGAGGUACAUGGUGAUGAACUGGACCACAGUGGUUGCAGUGAAGAUGACUCCAACGCAGUGAGUGCAGAGAUGACACCUGUUUCUGCUCACCGCCGUAUCCUGAGCUCCUGGCUGACAGCUUGUCAUGCAGCAGGCAGUCAGUAAAUAACUGCUGAUGAGGGAACGAGCGGAUGGAAAGCUCAAUCCAACGAACAGGGUAGAAGAUCACACUAGAUAAUGUCAUUUGGGGAUAAAAUAAAAUGUGACUGUCAGUCACGCCCAGUGCCAUGCAGGGUACCUGGUAUGCAGCUCCGAAAGUAUUUGCAGUUGACUAAUUAAUGCAUGAAUGAGGUAUAUCUCUUUUAUAAAAGUCCACCUUCUUGUGUGCCUUAAUUAAUGGAAUAAUUGUGGAUCCUCCCAAGAUCACUUUGGAGAAGACACAGUCUGACUGCAUUUGGGUGCAGCUCUCUGGGGCCUGGCUAACUCAGCCAUACUCUUGUUUCCAGCAUGGAGUGCCUUGGUCCAAUGGCCAGCAGGUGGCAACAAAUGGUUGUUAAAGUGGCGGCCGAGCACUGGAGGCCCUCUCCAGAACAGGUGUCUCUCCUGCUGUGCCUCCAGGACCUGUGUUUUGGAAACGCCAGCAAGCCAGCCCAACAGGCCCUUUUGGACUUACAGUUCCGAGUAAUUGCACCGGAGAGCUGAAGAGCCAAAGGCAGUUGAUGUGCAUAUCCAGGCUUCUUCAGGCAUGAGAUUUCAUCCGGUUCACACCAGAUGACCUGCCUCUGUCAGGUCUCAGUCUGUCUGGAAUCGUCAGUUUCUUCUGUUUUGUUUUGUUUUAGCCAAGCUCAGUGCCAUGCAAUCAGGCUGACAGUCUGUAGUCAAGACUGGGUUUGUUAUCACUGGAUUACACAAAGGCUUCUUAUUACAAAGAGGUUGCUGACCACUCAUCAUGGGUCCCCUCUACCUUGGUGCUGUUUCUUCCAGGGGCAGGGAUGAAUUUGUCCCUGUCCUGCUUCACACUCUCCCUCUUUCUUUUAGUCUAAUGGUAGAGGGGAGAUCACCCUAUAUCGCGAUCCUGUUGUCCACCGCCUCAUUCCUGCGGCAGCUUAGCUGUGCACUUGACAUACGUCAUGUGUCUGAGCUCACUUAGGUACAAGAACCAGGAGGGGAAUCUGAUAAUUCUGAUUCUAAACACAGUGCUCUGUCCACUACAUUCAUGGUUCAAAUGGUGCUCCAAGAAGCCCUUCUGAGGUGGCCAUGAGCGAAGGGAAGAAGGAGGGAUGGCGGACAGGGAGGAGUGGCCGAAAAGGUGGUGCUCCCUGCUUCCCACCCUUCCUUCAUCUAGAACAGCUGUGCUGUAACUUUUAAAAUAUAUGUGGCCGGGCGCGGUGGCUCAAGCCUGUAAUCCCAGCACUUUGGGAGGCCGAGGCAGGUGGAGCACGAGGUCAAGAGAUCGAGAGCAUCCUGGUCAACAUGGUGAAACCCCAUCUCUACUAAAAAUCAAAAAAUUAGCUGGGCAUGGUGGUGCGUACCUGUAAUCCCAGCUACUCAGGAGGCUGAGGCAGGAGAAUUGCCUGAACCCAGGAGGUGGAGGUUGUGGUGAGCCGAGAUCACGCCAUUGCACUCCAGCCUGGGUAACAAGAGCGAAACUCUGUCUCAAAAAAAUAAAAAUAAAUAAAAUAUAUGUGUGUGUACAUUAAAGUAUAUAUGUAAUCUUUCUCUUAACUUUCCUUUCAGAAGGUGGAGAAAAAUCUGUGCCUCCUCCUCUCAAGGGAUACUUUGUCUCUGGGGUACUUUUUGACCCAGUGGGCCCCUGGCAGAAAUAAGCGUGGGCUGUGACUACAGGACCAUGCAGAGCCAACAGGAACCGAAGCCAGGCCUUGGCCACGGCAGCUCCGGGGCCAACCACUUGAUCAAUGCAGGAAAUGCUUUGAUGGCAGAAUUCUUCCAUGGCCGGCUUCUCAUAUUCUCUGGGGCAGACACAAACUAAGAAAAGUGAGUGGUGCAGGACAGGAUGUGCCCUUCCUGUACCCCUGCUGGGAGCAAAACGUAGAUUUUGAACUUUUCUUUUACACACAGUCUGGGUAACAACAGUCUGAAGGAAAACUAAGGAAGCCUGGGAGUCUAAGUUCAAUGACAAGUGAAGAAGUGAGGCAGAGGGAAAGGAGAAUUGAGAGAGAAAAGCCUCAGGCUGGGUGUCUGGAGAGGUUGGGGGACUAGGGAGGGAGGAGAUAUAAUUGGCCAGAGAACUGGAGAGUGGGUGAGGAGUGCAAACAUGAUUUUUGAGGCGCUUUGUUGGAUAUUUCAAAUGUACUCCUACCUUUGGCAUUUUCUCAAGAGGCAGGAAAGAUUUGUUUUCAAUUCUAUUUUUCUGCUGGACUGAACCAGUGCCAAGACUGGACCGUGUAGGAUCCUGGGUUUAUUUCGGUUACAUAAGCGAACUUUGCUGUGAUUUGGAAUAGUCAAAGCCAUGAAUGUUUUUCAACUUCCAUUUUGUCAGCUGCUUGAGUUUCUAUUCUGAGAGGUGCUAACAGUUAUAACAUUGUUAUUCACUUGUGUUUCCUAAAUAACUUUUAAUCAGUUUUAAUUUGAAACAAGAUUGUUCUGUUGACACUAUCACAAGAAUGAUCAAAAAUGAAAUUAAUAAAGAAUUCACUUCGGAAAAAAAUUUUCACUAAUAUUAUGGUAUUUUAUAAUAUCUUUCUCAGCAGAGACACAGAUAAUUAAAAAUUUUUAAUUUUGUUUUUAAGUGUUUUUCCUCAAAGCGAUAAUAGAUAUAGCCUUGGUAAAGAGUUUAGUGAAACAUUAGUUUUCACCUCUCAUGCAUUUUGUAUAAUGAAAUUUUCCUAUCAUCUUCUAGUGGAAUUAAUUGCAUUGGUGUAAAAAAUGCAAUCAGAUCAGUGACUGUAUUUAGCCUUUGAAACCUCAUGACUAGCUGGGAUAGUUAAUAUUCAUUACACACUGAAAAAUGAUAAGCAGUAAUCUUUUCUCCUAAAAAACUGCCAAAGAGAAGUUUCUCAGGGCUCUCGAAAUAGCAUAAAGCUGACAAUACGAGAAAUGUUAAAAUACUGUUGGAGUUUUUAAUCAAAUCUUCCCUCUCUUCUUUUCCUGUUUUUUAAGACAAUGGUAGUUAUUUGUCCACUAAUCAUUAAUGUAUGAUUUUCUAACAAAGACUUGCAUAUCCUUUUGGCUAAAAAGUGGCCAAAUAUCAAAGAGCUAGUAAUUUGGGAGACAGCCAUUAGUCUGUUCCAAAGCAUAUAAGCUCUUUUGAAUCCUUUUGGGUAAAUGUCUGGCAAAGAUCAAACAGAAUUCAUAAAGGAUUUCUGAUACACAGUGAAAUGUGCCUGUGAGGACUCUAUACAUGAUAAUAAUCUAAGCAUGCUCUCUUUUAGUCCCAAAACUUGUAAUGUUACAUGAAAUUUACAGGAGGCCAUUGAUUUGGACUGAGCUCCUGCACUAGGCCAAACAGACCAAACCAAAAUGGCGUCACUCAUGCUGAAAUUCACACCACCAAGCCAAAACUAAGUUGUUUAUCUUCCAAGACAUUAGGAGAGAUAACAGCCCAAUCCCCAAACAGGCCGGUUUUAGCUAGCAUGAUGAGGAGGUCCCCUCUGCUUCAGCCUUUAGGAGGAAAGUAACUUUGAAACAACCAGUCUGCUUUUUGUUCUCUGCUUCUGCCUGCCUCAACCCCUUUCUGACCAUAAAAGCAACAUCCUCUGCUUGGCUCAUGGGAACACUCAUUCUAUUUUGUACAGUGAGGUGUUGCCCGAUAUUCUAGAUUUGCAAAUAAAAGCCAAUUAAA